Molecule: ribosomal RNA, 253 nt
Filed under: uncultured bacterium
Lineage: Bacteria
Description: partial 16S ribosomal RNA
Rfam family: Bacterial small subunit ribosomal RNA
Source: RNAcentral
UACGGGGGGGACAAGCGUUGUUCGGAAUUACUGGGCGUAAAGGGCGCGUAGGCGGCCUGCUAAGUCGGAUGUGAAAUCCCUCGGCUCAACCGAGGAACUGCAUCCGAUACUGGCGGGCUUGAAUCCGGGAGAGGGAUGUGGAAUUCCAGGUGUAGCGGUGAAAUGCGUAGAUAUCUGGAGGAACACCGGUGGCGAAGGCGGCAUCCUGGACCGGUAUUGACGCUGAGGCGCGAAAGCUAGGGGAGCAAACGGG